Molecule: ribosomal RNA, 450 nt
Filed under: uncultured Glomeromycotina
Lineage: Eukaryota; Fungi; Glomeromycota
Description: SSU rRNA
Rfam family: Eukaryotic small subunit ribosomal RNA
Source: RNAcentral
AGCAGCCGCGGUAAUUCCAGCUCCAAUAGCGUAUAUUAAAGUUGUUGCAGUUAAAAAGCUCGUAGUUGAAUUUCGGGAUCAGUACGCUGGUCGUGCCCUUGGUAUGUACUGGUGUUACUGGUUCCUACCUUCUGACGAACCGUCAUGUCAUUAAUUUGGUGUGGCGGGGAAUCAGGACUGUUACUUUGAAAAAUUAGAGUGUUUAAAGCAGGCUCGCGCUUGAAUACAUUAGCAUGGAAUAAUGAAAUAGGACGUUCGAUCCUAUUUUGUUGGUUUCUAGGAUUGACGUAAUGAUUAAUAGGGAUAGUUGGGGGCAUUAGUAUUCAAUUGUCAGAGGUGAAAUUCUUGGAUUUAUUGAAGACUAACUACUGCGAAAGCAUUUGCCAAGGAUGUUUUCAUUAAUCAAGAACGAAAGUUAGGGGAUCGAAGACGAUCAGAUACCGUCGUAGU